Molecule: unclassified non-coding RNA, 313 nt
Filed under: plant metagenome
Description: partial contains 5.8S ribosomal RNA, internal transcribed spacer 2, and large subunit ribosomal RNA
Rfam family: 5.8S ribosomal RNA (bases 1-104)
Source: RNAcentral
AAAUGCGAUAAUUAAUGUGAAUUGCAGAAUUCAGUGAAUCAUCGAGUCUUUGAACGCACAUUGCGCCCCCUGGUAUUCCGGGGGGCAUGCCUGUCCGAGCGUCAUUGCUGCCCUCAAGCACGGCUUGUGUGUUGGGCUUCCGUCCCUGGCAACGGGGACGGGCCCAAAAGGCAGUGGCGGCACCAUGUCUGGUCCUCGAGCGUAUGAGGCUUUGUCACCCGCUCCCGUAGGUCCAGCUGGCAGCUAGCCUCGCAACCAAUCUUUUUAACCAGGUUGACCUCGGAUCAGGUAGGGAUACCCGCUGAACUUAAGC